This 398-nucleotide ribosomal RNA is filed under the name uncultured bacterium. RNAcentral describes it as "partial 16S ribosomal RNA". It matches the Rfam family "Bacterial small subunit ribosomal RNA", at positions 523 to 918 of the family's 1533-position model. The record is from RNAcentral.
AUACGUAGGGUGCGAGCGUUGUCCGGAAUUACUGGGCGUAAAGAGCUCGUAGGUGGUUUGUCGCGUCGUCUGUGAAAUUCCGGGGCUUAACUCCGGGCGUGCAGGCGAUACGGGCAUAACUUGAGUACUGUAGGGGAGACUGGAAUUCCUGGUGUAGCGGUGAAAUGCGCAGAUAUCAGGAGGAACACCGGUGGCGAAGGCGGGUCGCAGGGCAGUAACUGACGCGGAGGGGCGAAAGCAUGGGUAGCGAACAGGAUUAGAGACCCUGGUAGUCCAUGCCGUAAACGGUGGGCGCUAGGUGUAGGGGUCUUCCACGACUUCUGUGCCGUAGCUAACGCAUUAAGCGCCCCGCCUGGGGAGUACGGCCGCAAGGCUACAACUCAAAUGAAUUGACGGGG